CCUACGGGAGGCAGCAGUGAGGAAUUUUCCGCAAUGGGCGAAAGCCUGACGGAGCAAUACCGCGUGAGGGAUGAAGGAUUUUGGUCUGUAAACCUCUUUUCUCAAGAAAGAAGUUCUGACGGUACUUGAGGAAUAAGCAUCGGCUAACUCCGUGCCAGCAGCCGCGGUAAUACGGGGGAUGCAAGCGUUAUCCGGAAUGAUUGGGCGUAAAGCGCCUGUAGGUUGUUUAUUAAGUCCGUUGUUAAAGCCUAGGGCUUAACCCUAGAAAAGCAAUGGAAACUAGUAGACUAGAGUAUGGCAGGGGUAGAGGGAAUUUCUAGUGUAGCGGUGAAAUGCGUAGAUAUUAGAAAGAACACCGGUGGCGAAAGCGCUCUACUGGACCAUUACUGACACUCAGAGGCGAAAGCUAGGGUAGCAAAAGGGAUUAGAUACCCCUGUAGUCCUAGCCGUAAACGAUGGAUACUAGAUGUUGUGCAUUAUGUACAGUAUCGUAGCUAACGCGUUAAGUAUCCCGCCUGGGGAGUACGCUCGCAAGGGUGAAACUCAAAUGAAUUGACCGGNUGAGANGCGAGACGACACGAGGAGAG
Molecule: ribosomal RNA, 587 nt
Filed under: uncultured bacterium
Lineage: Bacteria
Description: bacterial SSU rRNA
Rfam family: Bacterial small subunit ribosomal RNA
Source: RNAcentral